RNAcentral lists this transfer RNA (66 nucleotides) under Limnophyes minimus. Its description in RNAcentral is "tRNA-Ala". It matches the Rfam family "tRNA". Rfam says of the family: Transfer RNA (tRNA) molecules are approximately 80 nucleotides in length. Their secondary structure includes four short double-helical elements and three loops (D, anti-codon, and T loops). Further hydrogen bonds mediate the characteristic L-shaped molecular structure. tRNAs have two regions of fundamental functional importance: the anti-codon, which is responsible for specific mRNA codon recognition, and the 3' end, to which the tRNAs corresponding amino acid is attached (by aminoacyl-tRNA synthetases). tRNAs cope with the degeneracy of the genetic code in two manners: having more than one tRNA (with a specific anti-codon) for a particular amino acid; and 'wobble' base-pairing, i.e. permitting non-standard base-pairing at the 3rd anti-codon position. Lineage: Eukaryota; Metazoa; Arthropoda; Insecta; Diptera; Chironomidae. The record is from RNAcentral.
AAGGAUAUAGUUAAUUAUAACAUUUAAUUUGCAAUUAAAAAAUAUUGAAACUUUCAAUUUUCCUUA